RNAcentral lists this ribosomal RNA (253 nucleotides) under uncultured bacterium. RNAcentral describes it as "partial 16S ribosomal RNA". It matches the Rfam family "Bacterial small subunit ribosomal RNA", at positions 524 to 776 of the family's 1533-position model. The record is from RNAcentral.
UACGUAGGGUGCAAGCGUUGUCCGGAAUUAUUGGGCGUAAAGAGCUUGUAGGCGGUCUGUCGCGUCUGCUGUGAAAAUCCGGGGCUCAACCCCGGACUUGCAGUGGGUACGGGCAGACUAGAGUGUGGUAGGGGAGACUGGAAUUCCUGGUGUAGUGGUGAAAUGCGUAGAGAUGCGGAGGAACACCAGUGGCGAAAGCGGCUUUCUGGUCCUUAACUGACGCUGAGGCGCGAAAGCAUGGGGAGCGAACGGG